Molecule: ribosomal RNA, 497 nt
Filed under: uncultured bacterium
Lineage: Bacteria
Description: partial 16S ribosomal RNA
Rfam family: Bacterial small subunit ribosomal RNA
Source: RNAcentral
GAUGAACGCUGGCGGCGUGCCUAAUACAUGCAAGUCGAGCGAACAGACGAGGAUCUUGCUCCUCUGAUGUUAGCGGCGGACGGGUGAGUAACACGUGGAUAACCUACCUAUAAGACUGGGAUAACUUCGGGAAACCGGAGCUAAUACCGUAUAACAUGUUGAACCGCAUGGUUCAACAGUGAAAGACGGUCUUGCUGUCACUUAUAGAUGGAUCCGCGCCGCAUUAGCUAGUUGGUAAGGUAACGGCUUACCAAGGCAACGAUGCGUAGCCGACCUGAGAGGGGGAUAGGCCACACGGGAAGUGAGACACGGUCAAGACUCCUAAGGGAGGCAGCAGUAGGGAAUCUUCCGCAAUGGGCGAAAGCAUGACGGAGCAACGCCGAGUGAGUGAAGAAGGUCUUCGGAUCGUAAAACUCUGUUAUUAGGGAAGAACAAAUGUGUAAGUAACUAUGCACGUCUUGACGGUACCUAAUCAGAAAGCCACGGCUAACUACGUG